Molecule: ribosomal RNA, 426 nt
Filed under: uncultured bacterium
Lineage: Bacteria
Description: bacterial SSU rRNA
Rfam family: Bacterial small subunit ribosomal RNA
Source: RNAcentral
GUAGGGAAUAUUGCACAAUGGGCGAAAGCCUGAUGCAGCAACGCCGCGUGCGCGAUGAAGGCCUUCGGGUCGUAAAGCGCUUUUUGGGGAGAUGAGGAAGGACAGUAUCCCCAGAAUAAGAUUCGGCUAACUACGUGCCAGCAGCCGCGGUAACACGUAGGAAUCGAGCGUUAUCCGAAUUUACUGGGCGUAAAGCGCGUGCAGGCGGUUUGGUAAGUUGGAUGUGAAAGCUCCUGGCUCAACUGGGAGAGGCCGUUCAAAACUACCAGACUUGAGGACGGUAGAGGAAGGUGGAAUUCCCGGUGUAGUAGUGAAAUGCGUAGAUAUCGGGAGGAACACCAGUGGCGAAGGCGGCCUUCUGGACCGUUUCUGACGCUAAGACGCGAAAGCUAGGGGAGCGAACGGGAUUAGAUACCCUGGUAGUCC